GGAUCAUUACACAAUAAAAUACAAAGGCCGUUCGCGGCUGGACUAUUUAUUACCCUUGUCUUUUGCGCACUUGUUGUUUCCUGGGCGGGCUCGCUCGCCACCAGGACCACAAUAUAAACCUUUUUUAUGCAGUUGCAAUCAGCGUCAGUAUAACAAAUGUAAAUCAUUUACAACUUUCAACAACGGAUCUCUUGGUUCUGGCAUCGAUGAAGAACGCAGCGAAAUGCGAUACGUAGUGUGAAUUGCAGAAUUCAGUGAAUCAUCGAAUCUUUGAACGCACAUUGCGCCCUUUGGUAUUCCAAAGGGCAUGCCUGUUCGAGCGUCAUUUGUACCCUCAAGCUUUGCUUGGUGUUGGGCGUUUUUGUCUUUGGCCCGCCAAAGACUCGCCUUAAAAUGAUUGGCAGCCGGCCUACUGGUUUCGCAGCGCAGCACAUUUUUGCGCUUGCAAUCAGCAAAAGAGGACGGCAAUCCAUCAAGACUCCUUCUCACGUUUGACCUCGGAUCAGGUAGGGAUACCCGCUGAACUUAAGCAUAUCAAUAA
RNAcentral lists this ribosomal RNA (541 nucleotides) under Curvularia spicifera. RNAcentral describes it as "eukaryotic LSU rRNA". The stretch from base 172 to 325 matches the Rfam family "5.8S ribosomal RNA". The record is from RNAcentral. Lineage: Eukaryota; Fungi; Ascomycota; Dothideomycetes; Pleosporales; Pleosporaceae.